UUCAACAUUUAAGCACCACUCUCACCAAUGUCUCUCAUUCCCAAUUUUUCCCUUUUCUUUUUCUUUUGCAUUGAGCUCUUCUUCAUUCUUUUCUUCUUUUCAUUUCUUUUUUUGAUGAAUUUUGUCUUUUCACAAUAAUUGAGCUCAAUGCCUUUCAUUUGCUUUUUCAAUUUUCCCCCGUACAACCCCAAACUUGAACCUUUUCAUCACAUACAAGUUACCUCAUCCCAACUCAAGGUAGAGAAUUUCAAAACAAGGGAUUACAUCCUGUUUAAGGCGAAAAGAGCCUAUUAUUAAUUAUCGGCUUGUUAUCCCUAGCCUCCCCUAGCAAUUAAUAAUGCAUUAAGAAAAGAAGCAAAAACAAAUGAUCAUCCUACCCCCUAUCCCUAGGUUGGUAUUGCUUAAUAAAGGAAAUUCUCACCAGUUCAUGACAGUACUGUACGUUCCCGUAUCAAUAGAGACAAACAACAGUUAUCGAAUGAGUUAAACGAUAAAAGCAUUAAGCGCAGAUGAGAACCCAACAAUUGAUAAUCAAAGCAUAUGAAGAAUCAUAUAAAUAAACAAGAGUUUCAAUAAAAGAGAGUUUCAAAAGAUUACAUUGUCAUGGUGAACUUAGAUGAAAAUAAUGGAAGAAUGGAAAAGCAAACCCUAGAUAAGAUGAAAAGGAGCCUAAGCAUCCAAGAGAUCCUCUCCAGAGAGUGAAAAUUAGGUAUGGCC
RNAcentral lists this long non-coding RNA (717 nucleotides) under Vigna radiata. RNAcentral's name for it is "long non-coding RNA (VRAD_LNC016051)". Lineage: Eukaryota; Viridiplantae; Streptophyta; Magnoliopsida; Fabales; Fabaceae. The record is from RNAcentral.